UACAGAGGGUGCGAGCGUUAGGCGGAAUCACUGGGCUUAAAGCGUGUGUGGGUGGAUGUCUAAGUACCUUGUGAAAUCCCACGGCUUAACCGUGGAACUGCUUGGUAUACUGGAUGUCUUGAGCCAGCUAGGGGCUACCGGAACAAAUGGUGGAGCGGUGAAAUGCGUAGAUAUCGUAAGGAAGACCAGUGGCGAAGGCGGGUCUCUGGACAGUUCCUGACGCUGAGGCACGAAGGUCAGGGGAGCAAACGGG
This 253-nucleotide ribosomal RNA is filed under the name uncultured bacterium. RNAcentral's name for it is "partial 16S ribosomal RNA". It matches the Rfam family "Bacterial small subunit ribosomal RNA", at positions 524 to 776 of the family's 1533-position model. The record is from RNAcentral.